RNAcentral lists this ribosomal RNA (438 nucleotides) under Salmonella enterica. RNAcentral describes it as "partial 23S ribosomal RNA". It matches the Rfam family "Bacterial large subunit ribosomal RNA", at positions 836 to 1270 of the family's 2925-position model. The record is from RNAcentral. Lineage: Bacteria; Pseudomonadati; Pseudomonadota; Gammaproteobacteria; Enterobacterales; Enterobacteriaceae.
AACCGGGAGAUAGCUGGUUCUCCCCGAAAGCUAUUUAGGUAGCGCCUCGUGAAUUCAUCUCCGGGGGUAGAGCACUGUUUCGGCUAGGGGGCCAUCCCGGCUUACCAACCCGAUGCAAACUGCGAAUACCGGAGAAUGUUAUCACGGGAGACACACGGCGGGUGCUAACGUCCGUCGUGAAGAGGGAAACAACCCAGACCGCCAGCUAAGGUCCCAAAGUCAUGGUUAAGUGGGAAACGAUGUGGGAAGGCCCAGACAGCCAGGAUGUUGGCUUAGAAGCAGCCAUCAUUUAAAGAAAGCGUAAUAGCUCACUGGUCGAGUCGGCCUGCGCGGAAGAUGUAACGGGGCUAAACCAUGCACCGAAGCUGCGGCAGCGACGCUUAUGCGUUGUUGGGUAGGGGAGCGUUCUGUAAGCCUGUGAAGGUGGCCUGUGAGGGU